UCCUUAGCUCAGUUGGUUUAGAGCAUCUGCCUUACAAGCAGAGGGUCGAAGGUUCGAAUCCUUCAGGGUCC
This 71-nucleotide transfer RNA is filed under the name Porphyromonas somerae. It matches the Rfam family "tRNA", at positions 5 to 66 of the family's 71-position model. Rfam says of the family: Transfer RNA (tRNA) molecules are approximately 80 nucleotides in length. Their secondary structure includes four short double-helical elements and three loops (D, anti-codon, and T loops). Lineage: Bacteria; Pseudomonadati; Bacteroidota; Bacteroidia; Bacteroidales; Porphyromonadaceae. RNAcentral also lists the same sequence under 1 other name. The record is from RNAcentral.